AUUGAACGCUGGCGGCAGGCUUAACACAUGCAAGUCGAGCGGGGUGAUGGUGCUUGCACUAUCACUUAGCGGCGGACGGGUGGGUAAUGCUUAGGAAUCUGCCUAUUAGUGGGGGACAACAUCUCGAAAGGGAUGCUAAUACCGCAUACGUCCUACGGGAGAAAGCAGGGGAUCACUUGUGACCUUGCGCUAAUAGAUGAGCCUAAGUCGGAUUAGCUAGUUGGUGGGGUAAAGGCCUACCAAGGCGACGAUCUGUAGCGGGUCUGAGAGGAUGAUCCGCCAGACUGGGACUGGGACACGGCCCAGACUCCUACGGGAGGCAGCAGUGGGGAAUAUUGGACAAUGGGGGGAACCCUGAUCCAGCCAUGCCGCGUGUGUGAAGAAGGCCUUAUGGUUGUAAAGCACUUUAAGCGAGGAGGAGGCUCUUUUGGUUAAUACCCAAGAUGAGUGGACGUUACUCGCAGAAUAAGCACCGGCUAACUCUGUGCCAGCAGCCGCGGUAA
RNAcentral lists this ribosomal RNA (503 nucleotides) under uncultured bacterium. RNAcentral describes it as "partial 16S ribosomal RNA". It matches the Rfam family "Bacterial small subunit ribosomal RNA", at positions 30 to 523 of the family's 1533-position model. The record is from RNAcentral.